CAGCAGCCGCGGGAAUACGUAGGGUGCAAGCGUUAAUCGGAAUUACUGGGCGUAAAGCGUGCGCAGGCGGUUCGUUAAGACAGAUGUGAAAUCCCCGGGCUUAACCUGGGAACUGCAUUUGUGACUGGCGGGCUAGAGUAUGGCAGAGGGGGGUAGAAUUCCACGUGUAGCAGUGAAAUGCGUAGAGAUGUGGAGGAAUACCGAUGGCGAAGGCGGCUCACUGGUCCAUUACUGACGCUGAGGUGCGAAAGCGUGGGGAGCAAACAGGAUUAGAUACCCGUGUGUCCCUGUCUCUUAUACA
Molecule: ribosomal RNA, 301 nt
Filed under: uncultured bacterium
Lineage: Bacteria
Description: partial 16S ribosomal RNA
Rfam family: Bacterial small subunit ribosomal RNA
Source: RNAcentral